CCGCUGGCGGCAUGCCUCACACAUGCAAGUCGAACGGGGUUUGGUUGAAAGCCUAGCUUUUGACUAAACCUAGUGGCGGACGGGUGAGUAACGCGUGGGCAACCUACCCUACAGACCGGGAUACCAUCGGGAAACUGAUGUUAAUACCGGAUACACUUAGUAUAACGCAUGUUGUAUUAAGGAAAGAUUUUAUCGCUGUAGGAUGGGCCUGCGUUCCAUUAGCUAGUUGGUAGGGUAACGGCCUACCAAGGCGACGAUGCGUAGCCGACCUGAGAGGGUGAUCGGCCACACUGGGACUGAGACACGGCCCAGACUCCUACGGGAGGCAGCAGUAGGGAAUCUUCCGCAAUGGACGAAAGUCUGACGGAGCAACACCGCGUGAGCGAUGAAGGCCUUCGGGUCGUAAAGCUCUGUUGUUAGGGAAGAACAAGUGCUAUUCGAAUAGGGUGGCACCUUGACGGUACCUAACGAGAAAGCCACGGCUAACUACGUGCCAGCAGCCGCGGUAAUACGUAGGUGGCAAGCGUUGUCCGGAAUUAUUGGGCGUAAAGCGCGCGCAGGCGGUCUCUUAAGUCUGAUGUGAAAGCCCACGGCUCAACCGUGGAGGGUCAUUGGAAACUGGGAGACUUGAGUACAGAAGAGGAGAGUGGAAUUCCAUGUGUAGCGGUGAAAUGCGUAAAUAUAUGGAGGAACACCAGUGGCGAAGGCGACUCUCUGGGUCUGUAACUGACGCUGAGGCGCGAAAGCGUGGGGAGCAACAGGAUUAAAUACCCUGGUA
This 778-nucleotide ribosomal RNA is filed under the name uncultured bacterium. Its description in RNAcentral is "bacterial SSU rRNA". It matches the Rfam family "Bacterial small subunit ribosomal RNA", at positions 33 to 792 of the family's 1533-position model. The record is from RNAcentral.